UAUGAUGAUUGAUUAUAUGUUUCAAACACGUCAAAAAAAAAUAUAUUAUAUGUUUCCAAGUGCACUACACCCGUCCAUUUAGUUGGUGGGAUGUCCAUGUCAUGACUGAUUUAAUAUAUAAUGUGAUUGAUUAUAUAUUUUGAACAUUAUUUUAAUUUAUUUUUUUGACAAAACAUUAUUUUAAUAUUUUGAUGGUGGGAUGUCCAUGUCAUGACUGAUUUAAUAUCCGAUAUUUUGGUUUUAUCCACUUUAAAUAUUUAAUUUAUCGAUUUUCAUACAAUAAAACUUGUAUAUUUAAAUAUUUAACUUAGUUGGUAGGAACAUUGCACUAUAUAC
RNAcentral lists this long non-coding RNA (336 nucleotides) under Trifolium pratense (red clover). Its description in RNAcentral is "long non-coding RNA (TPRA_LNC004773)". Lineage: Eukaryota; Viridiplantae; Streptophyta; Magnoliopsida; Fabales; Fabaceae. The record is from RNAcentral.